GAUGAACGCUGGCGGCGUGCUUAACACAUGCAAGUCGAACGGGAUCUCAGGAGCUUGCUCCUGGGUGAGAGUGGCGAACGGGUGAGUAAUGCGUGACCGACCUGCCCCAUACACCGGAAUAGCUCCUGGAAACGGGUGGUAAUGCCGGAUGCUCCGACUCCUCGCAUGGGGUGUCGGGAAAGAUUAUAUCGGUAUGGGAUGGGGUCGCGUCCUAUCAGGUAGUCGGCGGGGUAACGGCCCACCGAGCCUACGACGGGUAGCCGGCCUGAGAGGGCGACCGGCCACAUUGGGACUGAGAUACGGCCCAGACUCCUACGGGAGGCAGCAGUGGGGAAUAUUGCACAAUGGGCGCAAGCCUGAUGCAGCGACGCCGCGUGCGGGAUGACGGCCUUCGGGUUGUAAACCGCUUUUGAUCGGGAGCAAGCCUU
Molecule: ribosomal RNA, 428 nt
Filed under: uncultured bacterium
Lineage: Bacteria
Description: bacterial SSU rRNA
Rfam family: Bacterial small subunit ribosomal RNA
Source: RNAcentral